UUUUGAAGCAUCGUAUGACUAUAUUUAAGCCUUCCGAACACUUGGACUUUGCGUUAUGUCUGGUUAUUAUGUUUUUGGA
This 79-nucleotide microRNA precursor is filed under the name anatid alphaherpesvirus 1. Its description in RNAcentral is "Anatid alphaherpesvirus 1 microRNA dev-mir-D14 precursor". Its record names the gene dev-mir-D14. Lineage: Duplodnaviria; Heunggongvirae; Peploviricota; Herviviricetes; Herpesvirales; Orthoherpesviridae. The record is from miRBase by way of RNAcentral.